UAUGACGGGUAUCCGGCCUGAGAGGGUGAUCGGACACACUGGUACUGAGACACGGUCCAGACUCCUACGGGAGGCAGCAGUAGGGAAUAUUGCUCAAUGGGCGAAAGCCUGAAGCAGCAACGCCGCGUGGAGGAUGAAGGUCUUCGGAUUGUAAACUCCUUUUCUAAGAGAAGAUUAUGACGGUAUCUUAGGAAUAAGCACCGGCUAACUCCGUGCCAGCAGCCGCGGUAAUACGGAGGGUGCAAGCGUUACUCGGAAUCACUGGGCGUAAAGAGCACGUAGGCGGCCUUGCAAGUCAGAUGUGAAAUCCAACGGCUUAACCGUCGAACUGCAUUUGAAACUGCAAGGCUAAAGUAUGGGAGAGGUAGGUGGAAU
This 375-nucleotide ribosomal RNA is filed under the name uncultured Wolinella sp. RNAcentral's name for it is "bacterial SSU rRNA". It matches the Rfam family "Bacterial small subunit ribosomal RNA", at positions 275 to 667 of the family's 1533-position model. Lineage: Bacteria; Pseudomonadati; Campylobacterota; Epsilonproteobacteria; Campylobacterales; Helicobacteraceae. The record is from RNAcentral.